This 464-nucleotide ribosomal RNA is filed under the name uncultured bacterium. RNAcentral's name for it is "partial 16S ribosomal RNA". It matches the Rfam family "Bacterial small subunit ribosomal RNA", at positions 339 to 795 of the family's 1533-position model. The record is from RNAcentral.
CUACGGGUCGCUGCAGUGGGGAAUAUUGCACAAUGAGCGAAAGCUUGAUGCAGCCAUACCGCGUGUGUGAAGAAGGCCCGAGGGUUGUAAAGCACUUUCAAUUGGGAGGAAGAUAGAGUAGUUAAUACCUGCUUUAUUUGACGUUACCUUUAGAAGAAGCACCGGCUAACUCUGUGCCAGCAGCCGCGGUAAUACAGAGGGUGCAAGCGUUAUUCGGAAUUACUGGGCGUAAAGCGCGCGUAGGCGGAUUAGUAAGUCAGUUGUGAAAGCCCUGGGCUCAACCUAGGAACUGCAUCUGAUACUGCUAGUCUAGAGUUUAGUAGAGGGAAGGGGAAUUCCAGGUGUAGCAGUGAAAUGCGUAGAUAUCUGGAGGAACAUCAGUGGCGAAGGCGCCUUCCUGGACUAAAACUGACGCUGAGGUGCGAAAGCGUGGGUAGCGAACGGGAUUAGAUACCCCCGUAGUC